ACCUGCGGAAGGAUCAUUAUUGUUCUUUGGGGUUGCCUGCGCUUUAUUGCGCGGCCCCCUACCUUUACACACAUGUUUUUUGUUUUACAAAAUUGCUUUGGUCGAAAGGCCAAAGAUUAAACACAGAUUAAUAUCUUUUUUAUAUAAAUUGUCAAGAAGUAUUUUAUAAAUCUUCAAAACUUUCAACAACGGAUCUCUUGGUUCUCGCAACGAUGAAGAACGCAGCGAAAUGCGAUACGUAAUGUGAAUUGCAGGUUUUCGUGAAUCAUCGAAUCUUUGAACGCAUAUUGCGCCCUCUGGUAUUCCGGAGGGCAUGCCUGUUUGAGCGUCAUUUCUCUCUCAAAUCUUUUAGAUUUGGUAUUGAGUGGUACUCUUAUGGAGUUAACUUGAAAUAAAUUGGCAAAAGCUGUUUUCUAGUUUUUGAUUAACUUACGUUUCUAGGUUCUACCAUUUACGUGAAGAAAUUGAAAACAAAAAAACUAUAGCGCCGGCCUAACAAUUUUACAUAAGUUUGACCUCAAAUCAGGUAGGAUUACCCGCUGAACUUAAGCAUAUCA
RNAcentral lists this small RNA (557 nucleotides) under Cyberlindnera sp. Eca44. RNAcentral describes it as "eukaryotic LSU rRNA". The stretch from base 178 to 331 matches the Rfam family "5.8S ribosomal RNA". Lineage: Eukaryota; Fungi; Ascomycota; Saccharomycetes; Phaffomycetales; Wickerhamomycetaceae. The record is from RNAcentral.